RNAcentral lists this ribosomal RNA (435 nucleotides) under Triticum aestivum (bread wheat). Its description in RNAcentral is "partial small subunit ribosomal RNA". The record is from RNAcentral. Lineage: Eukaryota; Viridiplantae; Streptophyta; Magnoliopsida; Poales; Poaceae.
AUGGACGCGCACACCGGCGCCUCGCUCACCCCGCUGUACAGCCGCGACCCCCCCGUUGUCGCCGUCGCCGCCGCCGGCGGAAACCCUAGCGCGGGAAGCGCUGGCGUCGCCGCCGCCGAAGCUCCGCUGAGCGUCGGCCUCGCGCGCAGCCUCUUCUUGCCGCCGCGGAUGACCACGGCGCCGGGUGGCGUCGCGCCGGCGCCGUCCCGUGCCGCCGCCGCACCGUCGAAGAAAGUCCCCAAUGCGGCACGGACGAAGAAGGGCAAAACAUCCGCGAAGAAAAACAAGGCGGCGGACGGCUCCGGCACCACGAAGGCGAGGGGAAAGAAGCUUGCAGGGCGUUCGACGGCGGCGGCUUCCGAAGCGCCGGCGAGCUUACUCGUUGAGCCGGCCGCCGACGCGCACCACGUGUUCGACGAAAUGCCUCCAAGAUGA